CAGGAUUAGAUACCCUGGUAGUCCACGCCGUAAACGGUGGGCGCUAGAUGUGGGGACUAUUCCAUGGUCUCUGUGUCGCAGCUAACGCAUUAAGCGCCCCGCCUGGGGAGUACGUCCGCAAGGCUAAAACUCAAAGGAAUUGACGGGGGCCCGCACAAGCGGCGGAGCAUGCGGCUUAAUUCGAUGCAACGCGAAGAACCUUACCUAGACUUGACAUAUACGGAAAACAUGCAGAGAUGUAUGGUCCGAAAGGGCCGUAUACAGGUGGUGCAUGGUUGUCGUCAGCUCGUGUCGUGAGAUGUUGGGUUAAGUCCCGCAACGAGCGCAACCCUCGUUCUAUGUUGCCAGCGGUUCGGCCGGGGACUCAUAGGAGACUGCCGUGUCAACACGGAGGAAGGUGGGGGUGACGUCAAAUCAUCAUGCCCCUUAUGUCUAGGGCUGCACGCGUGCUACAAUGGCUGGUACAAAGGGCUGCGAUACCGCAAGGUGGAGCGAAUCCCAAAAAGCCAGUCUCAGUUCGGAUUGGGGUCUGCAACUCGACCCCAUGAAGUUGGAGUCGCUAGUAAUCGCAGAUCAGCAAUGCUGCGGUGAAUACGUUCCCGGGCCAUGUACACACCGCCCGUCACGUCACGAAAGUCGGUA
This 642-nucleotide ribosomal RNA is filed under the name uncultured Actinomycetes bacterium. RNAcentral describes it as "bacterial SSU rRNA". It matches the Rfam family "Bacterial small subunit ribosomal RNA", at positions 773 to 1416 of the family's 1533-position model. Lineage: Bacteria; Bacillati; Actinomycetota; Actinomycetes. The record is from RNAcentral.